Gossypium hirsutum (cotton) is the source of this 129-nucleotide non-coding RNA. Lineage: Eukaryota; Viridiplantae; Streptophyta; Magnoliopsida; Malvales; Malvaceae. The record is from Rfam.
UAUUAAAGAUUUCAUCCAUUUUUAUUGUUAAAAACUGGCGUGGAUAAUUACAUGUGACGUGUUUCAUGUACCUCGUGCUGGCAUACGAUGACAAAUUUUUAACAAUAAAAAUAAGUGGAAUUUUUAACA